AGUGAACGCUGGCGGUAGGCCUAACACAUGCAAGUCGAACGGCAGCACAGUAAGAGCUUGCUCUUACGGGUGGCGAGUGGCGGACGGGUGAGGAAUACAUCGGAAUCUACUUUUUCGUGGGGGAUAACGGAGGGAAACUUACGCUAAUACCGCAUACGACCUACGGGUGAAAGCAGGGGAUCUUCGGACCUUGCGCGAUUGAAUGAGCCGAUGUCGGAUUAGCUAGUUGGCGGGGUAAAGGCACACCAAGGCGACGAUCCGUAGCUGGUCUGAGAGGAUGAUCAGCCACACUGGAACUGAGACACGGUCCAGACUCCUACGGGAGGCAGCAGUGGGGAAUAUUGGACAAUGGGCGCAAGCCUGAUCCAGCCAUACCGCGUGGGUGAAGAAGGCCUUCGGGUUGUAAAGCCCUUUUGUUGGGAAAGAAAAGCAGCAGGUUAAUACCCCGCUGUUCUGACGGUACCCAAAGAAUAAGCACCGGCUAACUUCGUG
RNAcentral lists this ribosomal RNA (492 nucleotides) under uncultured bacterium. RNAcentral's name for it is "partial 16S ribosomal RNA". It matches the Rfam family "Bacterial small subunit ribosomal RNA", at positions 29 to 507 of the family's 1533-position model. The record is from RNAcentral.